RNAcentral lists this ribosomal RNA (503 nucleotides) under uncultured bacterium. RNAcentral describes it as "partial 16S ribosomal RNA". It matches the Rfam family "Bacterial small subunit ribosomal RNA", at positions 30 to 523 of the family's 1533-position model. The record is from RNAcentral.
AUUGAACGCUGGCGGCAGGCUUAACACAUGCAAGUCGAGCGGGGUGAUGGUGCUUGCACUAUCACUUAGCGGCGGACGGGUGAGUAAUGCUUAGGAAUCUGCCUAUUAGUGGGGGACAACAUCUCGAAAGGGAUGCUAACACCGCAUACGUCCUACGGGAGAAAGCAGGGGAUCACUUGUGACCUUGCGCUAAUAGAUGAGCCUAAGUCGGAUUAGCUAGUUGGUGGGGUAAAGGCCUACCUAGGCGACGAGCUGUAGCGGGUCUGAGAGGAUGAUCCGCCACACUGGGACUGAGACACGGCCCAGACUCCUACGGGAGGCAGCAGUGGGGAAUAUUGGACAAUGGGGGGAACCCUGAUCCAGCCAUGCCGCGUGUGUGAAGAAGGCCUUAUGGUUGUAAAGCACUUUAAGCGAGGAGGAGGCUCUUUUGGUUAAUACCCAAGAUGAGUGGACGUUACUCGCAGAAUAAGCACCGGCUAACUCUGUGCCAGCCGCCGCGGUAA